GAAUUCGCCCUUAGAGUUUGAUCCUGGCUCAGGACGAACGCUGGCGGCGUGCCUAACACAUGCAAGUCGAACGUUCUUGCCGCGAGGCAAGGGCGUGGCGGACGGGUGAGGAACACGUGAGCAACCUGCCCUGCAGUGGGGGAUACCGGGGCGAAAGCCUCGACAAUCCCGCAUGCGCUGCGCCGGCUCAGGCUGGCGCAGGAAAGCCGCUCGCCGGAGGGCGGGCAGCGCUGCAGGAGGGGCUUGCGGCCGAUUAGCUGGUUGGCGGGGUAACGGCCCACCAAGGCGACGAUCGGUAGCUGGUCUGAGAGGACGAUCAGCCACACUGGGAUUGAGAGACGGCCCAGACUCCUACGGGGGGCAGCAGUGAGGAAUCUUCGGCAAUGGGCGCAAGCCUGACCGAGCGACGCCGCGUGCAGGAAGACGGCCUUCGGGUUGUAAACUGCUUUUCUGAGGGACGAGCAAGGACGGUACCUCAGGAAGAAGCCCCGGCAAACUACGUGCCAGCAGCCGCGGUAAGACGUAGGGGGCGAGCGUUGUCCGGAGUUACUGGGCGUAAAGGGCCUGUAGGCGGUCGGGGAGGUUGCGACCCCCAGCCGGCGGCUUCACCGCCGGAGCGGUCGGAAAACGGCCCGACUUGAGGACCACAGAGGGACCUGGAAUUCCCGGUGGAGCGGUGAAAUGCGUAGAGAUCGGGAAGAACACCGAAGGCGAAGGCAGGGUCCUGGGUGGCCCCUGACGCUGAGAGGCGAAAGCUAGGGGAGCGAACGGGAUUAGAUACCCCGGUAGUCCUAGCCGUAAACGCUGACCACUAGGUGUGUGGGGAGAUCGACCCCCUGCGCGCCGAAGCGAACGCAGUAAGUGGUCCGCCUGGGGACUACGGCCGCAAGGCUAAAACUCAAAGGAAUUGACGGAAGGGCGAAUUC
Molecule: ribosomal RNA, 926 nt
Filed under: uncultured bacterium
Lineage: Bacteria
Description: bacterial SSU rRNA
Rfam family: Bacterial small subunit ribosomal RNA
Source: RNAcentral